Molecule: ribosomal RNA, 253 nt
Filed under: uncultured bacterium
Lineage: Bacteria
Description: partial 16S ribosomal RNA
Rfam family: Bacterial small subunit ribosomal RNA
Source: RNAcentral
UACGGAGGAUGCAAGCGUUAUCCGGAUUCAUUGGGUUUAAAGGGUGCGUAGGCGGAAUAAUAAGUCAGUGGUGAAAGCCUGCGGCUUAACCGUAGAAAUGCCAUUGAUACUGUUAUUCUUGAGUAUAGUUGAGGUGGGCGGAAUGUGUAAUGUAGCGGUGAAAUGCUUAGAUAUUACACAGAACACCAAUUGCGAAGGCAGCUCACUAAGCUGUUACUGACGCUGAGGCACGAAAGCGUGGGGAGCAAACAGG